RNAcentral lists this ribosomal RNA (253 nucleotides) under uncultured bacterium. RNAcentral describes it as "partial 16S ribosomal RNA". It matches the Rfam family "Bacterial small subunit ribosomal RNA", at positions 524 to 776 of the family's 1533-position model. The record is from RNAcentral.
UACGUAGGGGGCGAGCGUUAUCCGGAUUCACUGGGUGUAAAGGGAGCGUAGACGGCCAUGCGAGCCAGGGGUGAAAGCCCGGGGCCCAACCCCGGGACUGCCCUUGGAACUGCAUGGCUGGAGUGCGGGAGGGGCAGGCGGAAUUCCUGGUGUAGCGGUGAAAUGCGUAGAUAUCAGGAGGAACACCGGCGGCGAAGGCGGCCUGCUGGACCGCGACUGACGUUGAGGCUCGAAAGCGUGGGGAGCGAACAGG